UGGGGAAAGGACUGAAAUCAAAGGGGAUGUUUUUUAUUUAAAUCACAAGGAUGUUAAACUGUCCCAAAGUAAGUACAGUUCUGUACAAUGAAGAAUUAUCAAGACCAUUAUUGACAGUAAUGCCUCCAAUAAGAAAUGACAGAAAGGCGAUACAAACACAUGCUCAACACUUCUAUUAUACACUAAAGGUAAUGGAGAAAGUCACUUCUCUAUGACCUUAGGUGGGAAAGUAGGGAGAAGAAGAAGAGCAUUAUCCACCCAAACUCUAAUACACACACAAAAAAGUGCUUUUAGCUGGGAUCAUAAAGGUCUCCCAAGGAAAAAGUCAAGUUCCUAGAAGCAAAAUUGUUCUUAUAUGCAAGAGAUAUUUUGAGAUAUGCAAGAGACAGAGGGUACAGUGUGAAAGAGGAACAUAGACAGAACAAUAGAGGGAACAGUUGAGAGGAGGUAAAUGGUAAAUAAUGAGUAAGUAGGUGCCAAAGCUGAAGCACAAGUUUGGUCUUCAGGGAUGCUGGGUCCAAAUCAAUGCACAGUAAUGAUUCUGUAAAGUCAAAGCUCAGUCUGAAGAUGACGGAGAAUCUCUGACCUGUUUGGGUUGGACAAAGUAUAUGCUCAGAGAAGCAACAGAUAAAAUGGAUUCCACUGGAAUAGACACAAUUUGGAAGGCCACCCUUGCUGCCCUAACAAAAGGAGGAAUCUUACGAUGAAAAAGUUGAAGGCAUUUUUAUCAUGGCCACACAGACAACAAAUGACUUCAUGUACAUAAUUAACUUCCCAAAUAGAACCUUCUACUGAUGAAGUCACGUGAUUUCCAGAAUUACCUUUCUCUGAGCACCAUCAUGCAUGACUAAAACUUUGAGCACCAUGGCACCAUUUCUUCUGCGCUAACAACGUUGUCCAUCAAGAUUAAAUAAAGAAU
This is a long non-coding RNA of Manis pentadactyla (Chinese pangolin), 919 nucleotides long. RefSeq lists it as uncharacterized. The record is from RefSeq and is a predicted model, not a curated record. Lineage: Eukaryota; Metazoa; Chordata; Mammalia; Pholidota; Manidae. The transcript is spliced from 3 exons.